GUGAGGACGAAGAUGAAGAGUCUACGACAUGCCGGUCAGAGUGGAUCAGUGUUCCGCAGCGAUUUUGGCGUGAAAGAUGUACAUGCGGCAGCUGCUUCUGAACUUGUGGUAGCAGGGAACGCUGGUGGAGAAGAGAUCAUUUCUUCAGUCAACAACUGGAAGUAUUACUUGGGAAGAGA
Molecule: long non-coding RNA, 179 nt
Organism: Corticium candelabrum
Lineage: Eukaryota; Metazoa; Porifera; Homoscleromorpha; Homosclerophorida; Plakinidae
Exons: 3
Source: RefSeq, a predicted model, not a curated record